GACAGAGGAUGCAAGCGUUAUCCGGAAUGAUUGGGCGUAAAGCGUCUGUAGGUGGCUUUUAAGUCCGCCGUCAAAUCCCAGGGCUCAACCCUGGACAGGCGGUGGAAACUACCAAGCUGGAGUACGGUAGGGCAGAGGGAAUUCCGGUGGAGCGGUGAAAUGCGUAGAGAUCGGAAAGAACACCAACGGCGAAAGCACUCUGCUGGCCGACACUGACACUGAGAGACGAAGCUAGGGAGCGAAUGGG
This 247-nucleotide ribosomal RNA is filed under the name uncultured bacterium. RNAcentral's name for it is "partial 16S ribosomal RNA". It matches the Rfam family "Bacterial small subunit ribosomal RNA", at positions 524 to 776 of the family's 1533-position model. The record is from RNAcentral.